GAUUCUUGUCCUUUAAUCCAGGUAUAGUAUUUAUUUUACCUUAAUUUCUGUUUGAGGAAACUCAGGCAGCCAACAAUUUACAUUUGUCAACUCACUCUGCGCUCAUACGUUACGCCCACUCAGAUUUACAUCUGUCUCAAACCCUUAGGUUCUACUACGAUAGCAUCAACAGCUUGCCUCGUCUAAAUUCGGAGGAAAACCAUGCUAUUUUGUACCUUAUAUCCAGGUAUAGUUUUCUUCAAUCUUCAGUACGUUACUGCAGUUCCCAUGUAAGGCCUCAGACAGCCUUCACGGUCCAUUUUGCCACUCGUUUUACCCGUCCAUGCCCCCCAUUAACUCAUAUUUCGCCCAUUCGCCACGCUCACUCAGAUCUACAUCUGUCUCAAACCCCUUAGGCUUCUGCUACGAAAUCACCAACCACUGGACCUCUCUCUCAUAUACUUGAAGAAACAAGUCCACGGGUAUAAUCUCUAUCAAGGUUAGUAUCCUACCAGCACAUAAACGCCAAUUUAUCCCAUAGUUGUUACGUGAACUGGCUCACAGGGUCUGAACGUCAGACUUAGCUCACCGAGGCAUUUACAAACCAUCUCCCAAACCUCAACACGGAGGUAUGGCCCUACGCCCAAAUCAUAGUUAAUCGCCUCAUUCGCUCUUCUACAGGGCCGUAGUCAGG
Molecule: non-coding RNA, 673 nt
Organism: Pelobates cultripes (western spadefoot toad)
Lineage: Eukaryota; Metazoa; Chordata; Amphibia; Anura; Pelobatidae
Source: the annotation of a GenBank genome assembly